This 464-nucleotide ribosomal RNA is filed under the name uncultured bacterium. RNAcentral's name for it is "bacterial SSU rRNA". It matches the Rfam family "Bacterial small subunit ribosomal RNA", at positions 338 to 795 of the family's 1533-position model. The record is from RNAcentral.
CCUACGGGGGGCACCAGUAGGGAAUCUUCGGCAAUGGACGAAAGUCAGACCGAGCAACGCCGCGUGAGUGAAGAAGGUUUUCGGAUCGUAAAACUCUGUUGGUAGAGAAGAACGUUGGUGAGAGUGGAAAGCUCAUCAAGUGACGGUAACUACCCAGAAGGGACGGCUAACUACGUGCCAGCCGCCGCGGUAAUACGUAGGUCCCGAGCGUUGUCCGGAUUUAUUGGGCGUAAAGCGAGCGCAGGUGGUUUAUUAAGUCUGGUGUAAAAGGCAGUGGCUCAACCAUUGUAUGCAUUGGAAACUGGUAGACUUGAGUGCAGGAGAGGAGAGUGGAAUUCCAUGUGUAGCGGUGAAAUGCGUAGAUAUAUGGAGGAACACCGGUGGCGAAAGCGGCUCUCUGGCCUGUAACUGACACUGAGGCUCGAAAGCGUGGGGAACAAACAGGAUUAGAUACCCCUGUAGUC